Non-coding RNA from Schistocerca cancellata (South American locust), 73 nucleotides. The record is from the annotation of a RefSeq genome assembly. Lineage: Eukaryota; Metazoa; Arthropoda; Insecta; Orthoptera; Acrididae.
ACUGCGCUGGUGCAGUGGUUAGCACAUCUACCUAGCAAGUAAGAGGACCAGGGUUCGAGUCCCGGCCGCAGUA